Molecule: ribosomal RNA, 258 nt
Filed under: uncultured bacterium
Lineage: Bacteria
Description: partial 16S ribosomal RNA
Rfam family: Bacterial small subunit ribosomal RNA
Source: RNAcentral
GAUCCUGGCUCAGAUUGAACGCUGGCGGAACGCUUUACACAUGCAAGUCGAACGGUAACGUGGGGAGGAGCUUGCUCCACCCCGACGACGAGUGGCGAACGGGUGAGUAAUACAUCGGAACGUGUCCGCUCGUGGGGGACAACCAGCCGAAAGGUUGGCUAAUACCGCAUGAGUCCUACGGAAGAAAGAGGGGGACCCGCAAGGGCCUCUCGCGAGCGGAGCGGCCGAUGACUGAUUAGCCCGUUGGUGAGGUAACGG